GGGCGUAAGAGCUCGUAGGCGGUUUGUCGCGUCUGCUGUGAAAUCCCGAGGCUCAACCUCGGGUCUGCAGUGGGUACGGGCAGACUAGAGUGCGGUAGGGGAGAUUGGAAUUCCUGGUGUAGCGGUGGAAUGCGCAGAUAUCAGGAGGAACACCGAUGGCGAAGGCAGAUCUCUGGGCCGUAACUGACGCUGAGGAGCGAAAGGGUGGGGAGCAAACAGGCUUAGAUACCCUGGUAGUCCACCCCGUAAACGUUGGGAACUAGUUGUGGGGUCCAUUCCACGGAUUCCGUGACGCAGCUAACGCAUUAAGUUCCCCGCCUGGGGAGUACGGCCGCAAGGCUAAAACUCAAAGGAAUUGACGGGGACCCGCACAAGCGGCGGAGCAUGCGGAUUAAUUCGAUGCAACGCGAAGAACCUUACCAAGGCUUGACAUAUAGAGGAAACGUGCAGAAAUGUACGCCCCGCAAGGUCUCUAUACAGGUGGUGCAUGGUUGUCGUCAGCUCGUGUCGUGAGAUGUUGGGUUAAGUCCCGCA
This 534-nucleotide ribosomal RNA is filed under the name Microbacterium sp. RNAcentral describes it as "bacterial SSU rRNA". It matches the Rfam family "Bacterial small subunit ribosomal RNA", at positions 556 to 1091 of the family's 1533-position model. Lineage: Bacteria; Bacillati; Actinomycetota; Actinomycetes; Micrococcales; Microbacteriaceae. The record is from RNAcentral.